RNAcentral lists this ribosomal RNA (207 nucleotides) under uncultured Rhodoferax sp. RNAcentral's name for it is "partial 16S ribosomal RNA". It matches the Rfam family "Bacterial small subunit ribosomal RNA", at positions 568 to 774 of the family's 1533-position model. Lineage: Bacteria; Pseudomonadati; Pseudomonadota; Betaproteobacteria; Burkholderiales; Comamonadaceae. The record is from RNAcentral.
UGCGCAGGCGGUUUUGUAAGACAGAUGUGAAAUCCCCGGGCUCAACCUGGGACCUGCAUUUGUGACUGCAAGGCUAGAGUACGGUAGAGGGGGAUGGAAUUCCGCGUGUAGCAGUGAAAUGCGUAGAUAUGCGGAGGAACACCGAUGGCGAAGGCAAUCCCCUGGACCUGUACUGACGCUCAUGCACGAAAGCGUGGGGAGCAAACA